GAGAGAAGUGUGAUGUGGUUGGAGAAGGAUGGGGGAGGUGCUGCGUGAUUUUUCCUUCGGCAAGAGAGGGAGUGACGGUUUGGAAGGACAAGGUGCUAUAGGACAUGGCUCUGUCAGGGAGCCGUGUAGCAGACAUGUGGCGAGGCAAUCCUAUGCAGCAGCUCUAAAGACGGGU
Long non-coding RNA from Juglans microcarpa x Juglans regia, 175 nucleotides. RefSeq lists it as uncharacterized. The transcript is spliced from 3 exons. NCBI's taxonomy places the organism in Eukaryota, Viridiplantae, Streptophyta, Magnoliopsida, Fagales, Juglandaceae. The record is from RefSeq and is a predicted model, not a curated record.